RNAcentral lists this long non-coding RNA (220 nucleotides) under Mytilus galloprovincialis (Mediterranean mussel). The record is from RNAcentral. Lineage: Eukaryota; Metazoa; Mollusca; Bivalvia; Mytilida; Mytilidae.
GCGGUAUAAUUUUAUUAGGAUGCGAGGCUAAUUUGAAAUUUCAGUGUACAAUGUCAGAGGAAUUUUUUGCUGUUGGUACCUAGUCAAUCAUUUAGUUGUUAUAUAUAAAAAGAAAUAUAUAAAAUUGGCGCAAUUAGAUGAUUAUAUUAUUGGCGCAAAUGAUACCUAUAGUUUUGAAAAUUAGGUGGCGCAAAAGAGGUAUUGGCGCAAUUAAAUUGUG